Molecule: long non-coding RNA, 2586 nt
Organism: Centruroides sculpturatus (bark scorpion)
Lineage: Eukaryota; Metazoa; Arthropoda; Arachnida; Scorpiones; Buthidae
Exons: 2
Source: RefSeq, a predicted model, not a curated record
UAAAAAUCGUUUUCAAACAUAAAGUCUUUUUAAUAGAAGAUAAUUUUCUGUUGAGAAAUAAUCCAUCGUAUUUCACAUCCGAUUUUUACUUAUUUCCGAAUUAUACGAAAUUUAAAAUUAAAACGAAAUAUUGGCCAUUUAUAGUAAUGAUUUAAAUUGUUUAACAUAAAAUUUUCGACGUAAUAAGUGAUGCAUUUGUUACGACGUCAUACAUCAUUAACAAUAGUUUUCAAUUGUUCUUUAUUUUAUUGUUUGUUGCCAAAAAUGAAGAGAAGGUCUUUCUGAAAAUUUUGAUUGUUUUUCUCUUUAUUUCGAAACCUUCCUCAGAAUUUUGAUUUGGUUACAUGUGUUAAAAAUAUUUUACAAGAAUAUCACUUUUUGGAUUGUGUUGCUUCAAGAUCGAGUUUUCUUUUGACAUUUCUUCCUCGCGACACUAGAAAGAAGAAUCGUGAUAAGUAGCUUAAUUUCUAUACUUUUUUCGUUUAAUUAAUGUCGAUAAUAAUCGAGGAUUAAUAGAUGAUAAUCAGCUUCUUUUGCAAACUUGAAUUAGUAUAGAAGUUUACAUUGUAAUUUUUGACAUUAUAAUUUUACAAAUCAAAAUACUAAAUCCAUUAUUUAGUAUAAAUACUAUUGUCGUUUAGUAAAAAUUCAUUAAAAAUUUUGUAAAAAAGAAUGGAAAAAACGAUUAAAACAUUUUAAAAAUUUAAAAAAUUAUAUAAUUAAUACAAUUGAUUAGAUUUAAAAGUAAUUAAAUUUAAUUUUUUAAUUUAUUAAUUGUCAAGAGUGGUUAUUUUAGUCAGGCUUACAAGAUAAUAUUUUCUCCGAAAAAAUAAUUCGCACUGGAAGUAACAUUUGACAGUAUAAGUUAGAAAAAAAGAUUUCUAUAAUGAUGAAUUCGGUUUCUGGACCGAAGACUAAAUGGCAGCAGCUAAGUAGCCGAUUUGUAAGAGGAUAUUGCAAGAAAUGAAUGGUAAUGCUGGCUGAAGCAAUAAUGAAAAAGAUUUUUGUUCUGAUUAUAGAAUUUCCAGGCUAGAAGAAACUUAAUAAUUAUCAUUGCAAAUAAGUUGAAAGAAAUAGUAAUUGUUUCCUUAUCUAAUUAUAAACAAUUUAUAUACCUGUAACCACGAACUUCAUAUGCAAUGUGCAAACAGGGUUCUGAAAAUGUGACAAGUCUUAAAAGCCACUAAUUAUAAACUAAGAUAGAAAAAUUAUAACAAGUAAACAACAAAAGUCUUUCCAUUAAACAAAAUGUUUAUUUCUGUUUUAAAGUUCACUGAUUUCUCACUUAUGAGUCGUUUUUCACUGGUCCUGGCUGAAGCCUAUGGGAGUUAAAGUCUAAAAUCUCCCAUUUGAACGAUUCUCAGUUUUAUACACUUACAUAUAUUUCAGACUAGUGUAUUUUUUCCUCUCUUUACUGUUGUGAUUGUCAAUCACAAGAACAGAGUGGAGUCACUUUGCCACGGGUCAAACAGGUAUCCAGGAAGAUAAAAGAGCAGAGAGAAUUAAAAAGUUAUAAAGUAAAAUUUGUAAGCAUUAUUUUGUUAUUUUUUAAUUACUCAAAUUAAAUAUUUGAUCCGCAAUAUGGAUUUAAUAAAUUUCUAAUUUAAUUUUGACCUAUUUUCGAAAAUGUUUGCCUUUUAAUAAGUAAUGCUUCCAUGCAAGUGGAAACAUUACAGAGAUUGUUGCCUAGCAAGCAGUUAGCAGUUAUGAACGAAAGCAAAACAAUUGUGGUUCAAAUUUAAUUGUAUUUAAAAUGCAUAAUACUUUAUCAACUGAGUGUCAAACAACGACCAGACAUGGAAAUGAGUCUCCCAAAAAUUUCAUGCAAGAUUAGUAACAGUUUACGAUGCUGGAACUGUGGACAAAGCUAAUGAUUUCUCAACAUGACUACUCUAGAACUACCUACUGCUUUCAUGUCAGAAGCCAUACAGAAACUGGUGUUUGAAGUUCUUGACAGUCCUCCUUACAGCCUAGAUUUGGCACCUUCAGACUUUUGGUCGAUUUCUAUUCUGAAGAGACGUCUCAAAGGAAUUGAUUUCGUCUGUGACGAUAUUCAAGCCGCCACGAGGAAAUGGUUUAGAGAACAACCUGAAGAUUUCUACAGAGAUGAGUUUGAAAACUGGUUAAACAUUAGAGUACCUGAAACAUUAGAGUAUCGAACACGAAAGAGACUAUCUAGAGAAAUGAAAUGCGUUAAUUAAAAAUUAGAAAUAUUGAACUUUGUUCAGUUUGAUAUCUUACUGUAGAGCUUGUACAUAAAUAUGGAGGCAUUACUUAGGAAGUCUCAUAUAUAUAAUUAGCUUAAUUAUUAUCAUAUUAUUAUAAUUAAUUGUAACAUAUUUUAUAAUUAUAUAUUUCAAUGUGUUAUAUAUAUAAUGUAAAACUAUGUGGUUACUUUCAAAAUGUAAACAAUUCCUACUUUAUUCAUUGCUAUUGCUUAUAUUUUUAGAUGCAUUAAUGACAAUAUCUAUAGAUAAGAAUUUUGCACUCGUUGUAAAGAUUAUUUAUAUCAAUUUGGUGUUAAUUCUUACGAUUUUUAACAUUUAAUCGUUCUUGUAUUUAGUUUAAAAAGAAAAAUCUGUUUUA